Molecule: unclassified non-coding RNA, 209 nt
Filed under: Hevea brasiliensis (rubber tree)
Lineage: Eukaryota; Viridiplantae; Streptophyta; Magnoliopsida; Malpighiales; Euphorbiaceae
Source: RNAcentral
UGAGAUGACAUUGACUGUAACUGAGAUGGUGGUUGACGACCAAUGGGGAUUUGGGAUACGGGAACAGUUUGCAUUGGAGGUGGCAGUAUUCUGACAUGUUCGGGGAAGUUUAGUUUAGCUCUGUUUCCUCUAAAUCUUAAAGCAGCUUCGUCGUAGGCUCUGGCGGCGGCCUCUGCGGUGUCGAAUGUGCCAAGCCAGACUCUUGCUGC